GAUGAAGAACGUAGCGAAAUGCGAUAAGUAAUGUGAAUUGCAGAAUUCAGUGAAUCAUCGAAUCUUUGAACGCACAUUGCGCCCCCUGGUAUUCCGGGGGGCAUGCCUGUCCGAGCGUCAUUACAACCCUCAAGCUCAGCUUGGUGUUGGGCCCCGCCGCCCCGGCGGGCCCUAAAGUCAGUGGCGGUGCCGUCCGGCUCCGAGCGUAGUAAUUCUUCUCGCUCUGGAGGUCCGGUCGUGUGCUCGCCAGCAACCCCCAAUUUUUUUCAGGUUGACCUCGGAUCAGGUAGGGAUACCCGCUGAACUUAAGACUAUCAAUAAGCGGAGGA
This 329-nucleotide unclassified non-coding RNA is filed under the name soil metagenome. Its description in RNAcentral is "partial contains 5.8S ribosomal RNA, internal transcribed spacer 2, and large subunit ribosomal RNA". The stretch from base 1 to 120 matches the Rfam family "5.8S ribosomal RNA", at positions 35 to 154 of the family's 154-position model. The record is from RNAcentral.